UACGUAGGGGGCUAGCGUUGUCCGGAAUCAUUGGGCGUAAAGAGCGUGUAGGCGGCCCGGUAAGUCCGCUGUAAAAGUCAAAGGCUCAACCUUUGAAUGUCAGUGGAUACUGCCGGGCUAGAGUCCGGAAGAGGCGAGUGGAACUCCUGGUGUAGCGGUGGAAUGCGCAGAUAUCAGGAAGAACACCAACGGCGAAGGCAGCUCGCUAGGACGGUACUGACGCUGAGACGCGAAAGCGUGGGGGGAGCGAACAGG
Molecule: ribosomal RNA, 255 nt
Filed under: uncultured bacterium
Lineage: Bacteria
Description: partial 16S ribosomal RNA
Rfam family: Bacterial small subunit ribosomal RNA
Source: RNAcentral